UACGAAGGGGGCUAGCGUUGUUCGGAAUUACUGGGCGUAAAGCGCGCGCAGGCGGUCUUCCAAGUCAGUGGUGAAAGCCCGGAGCUCAACUUCGGAACUGCCAUUGAAACUGUUAGACUUGAGGACGAGAGAGGUGAGUGGAACUGCGAGUGUAGAGGUGAAAUUCGUAGAUAUUCGCAAGAACACCAGUGGCGAAGGCGGCUCACUGGCCCGGUACUGACGCUGAGGUGCGAAAGCGUGGGGAGCAAACAGGG
RNAcentral lists this ribosomal RNA (254 nucleotides) under uncultured bacterium. RNAcentral's name for it is "partial 16S ribosomal RNA". It matches the Rfam family "Bacterial small subunit ribosomal RNA", at positions 524 to 777 of the family's 1533-position model. The record is from RNAcentral.